GACGAACGCUGGCGGCGUGCCUAAUACAUGCAAGUCGAGCGGACCAAAGGGAGCUUGCUCCUGGAGGUUAGCGGCGAACGGGUGAGUAACACGUGGGCAACCUGCCUGUAAGACUGGGAUAACAUCGAGAAAUCGGUGCUAAUACCGGAUAAUAAAAAGAACUGCAUGGUUCUUUUUUGAAAGAUGGUUUCGGCUAUCACUUACAGAUGGGCCCGCGGCGCAUUAGCUAGUUGGUGAGGUAACGGCUCACCAAGGCAACGAUGCGUAGCCGACCUGAGAGGGUGAUCGGCCACACUGGGACUGAGACACGGCCCAGACUCCUACGGGAGGCAGCAGUAGGGAAUCUUCCGCAAUGGACGAAAGUCUGACGGAGCAACGCCGCGUGAGUGAUGAAGGUUUUCGGAUCGUAAAACUCUGUUGUUAGGGAAGAACAAGUGCCGUUCGAAAGGGCGGCGACCUUGACGGUACCUAACGAGAAAGCCACGGCUAACUACGUGCCAGCAGCCGCGGUAA
This 513-nucleotide ribosomal RNA is filed under the name uncultured bacterium. RNAcentral's name for it is "bacterial SSU rRNA". It matches the Rfam family "Bacterial small subunit ribosomal RNA", at positions 28 to 523 of the family's 1533-position model. The record is from RNAcentral.